This 28-nucleotide non-coding RNA is filed under the name Bombyx mori (domestic silkworm). Lineage: Eukaryota; Metazoa; Arthropoda; Insecta; Lepidoptera; Bombycidae. The record is from RNAcentral.
UAUCUUUGCGACAAGGACACGGCGCUGC